This 497-nucleotide ribosomal RNA is filed under the name uncultured bacterium. RNAcentral describes it as "partial 16S ribosomal RNA". It matches the Rfam family "Bacterial small subunit ribosomal RNA", at positions 28 to 507 of the family's 1533-position model. The record is from RNAcentral.
GAUGAACGCUGGCGGCGUGCCUAAUACAUGCAAGUCGAGCGAACAGACGAGGAGCUUGCUCCUCUGACGUUAGCGGCGGACGGGUGAGUAACACGUGGAUAACCUACCUAUAAGACUGGGAUAACUUCGGGAAACCGGAGCUAAUACCGGAUAAUAUAUUGAACCGCAUGGUUCAAUAGUGAAAGACGGUUUUGCUGUCACUUAUAGAUGGAUCCGCGCCGCAUUAGCUAGUUGGUAAGGUAACGGCUUACCAAGGCAACGAUGCGUAGCCGACCUGAGAGGGUGAUCGGCCACACUGGAACUGAGACACGGUCCAGACUCCUACGGGAGGCAGCAGUAGGGAAUCUUCCGCAAUGGGCGAAAGCCUGACGGAGCAACGCCGCGUGAGUGAUGAAGGUCUUCGGAUCUUAAAACUCUGUUAUUAGGGAAGAACAAAUGCGUAAGUAACUAUGCACGUCUUGACGGUACCUAAUCAGAAAGCCACGGCUAACUACGUG